This 29-nucleotide non-coding RNA is filed under the name Rattus norvegicus (Norway rat). Lineage: Eukaryota; Metazoa; Chordata; Mammalia; Rodentia; Muridae. The record is from RNAcentral.
UGAGCAUUUAGAAGUCUGUAGUCCACUGA